This 468-nucleotide ribosomal RNA is filed under the name uncultured bacterium. RNAcentral's name for it is "partial 16S ribosomal RNA". It matches the Rfam family "Bacterial small subunit ribosomal RNA", at positions 28 to 507 of the family's 1533-position model. The record is from RNAcentral.
GACGAACGCUGGCGGCGUGCUUAACACAUGCAAGUCGAACGGUGAGGCUCUGCUUUUGUGGGGUGCUCGAGUGGCGAAAGGGUGUGUAACACGUGAGGAGCCUGCCCCUGACUUUGGGAUAACUUCAGGAAACUGGGGCUAAUAUCGGAUAGGAGAUCUUGCUGCAUGGUGUGGGUUGGAAAGUUUCGGAGGUUGAGGAUGGACUCGCGGCUUAUCAGCUUGUUGGUGGGGUAGUGGCUUACCAAGGCAUUGACGAGUAGCCGGCCUGAGAGGGUGACCGGCCACAUUGGGACUGAGAUACGACCCGGACUCCAACGGGAGGCAGCAGUGGAGAAUAUUGCACGAUAGGCGGAAGCCUGAUGCAGCAACGCCGCGUGCGGGAUGACGGCCUUCGGGGUGUAACCCGCUUUCGCCUGUGACGAAGAGUGAGUGACGGUAAUUGGUAAAGAAGCACCGGCUAACUACGUG